GGAUCUGUGGAGUAAUGGUAGCGUGUCUGACUCCAGAUCAGAAGGUUGCGUGUUCGAUUCACGUCGGGUUCA
Molecule: transfer RNA, 72 nt
Filed under: Ipomoea nil (Japanese morning glory)
Lineage: Eukaryota; Viridiplantae; Streptophyta; Magnoliopsida; Solanales; Convolvulaceae
Rfam family: tRNA
About the family: Transfer RNA (tRNA) molecules are approximately 80 nucleotides in length. Their secondary structure includes four short double-helical elements and three loops (D, anti-codon, and T loops). Further hydrogen bonds mediate the characteristic L-shaped molecular structure. tRNAs have two regions of fundamental functional importance: the anti-codon, which is responsible for specific mRNA codon recognition, and the 3' end, to which the tRNAs corresponding amino acid is attached (by aminoacyl-tRNA synthetases). tRNAs cope with the degeneracy of the genetic code in two manners: having more than one tRNA (with a specific anti-codon) for a particular amino acid; and 'wobble' base-pairing, i.e. permitting non-standard base-pairing at the 3rd anti-codon position.
Source: Rfam by way of RNAcentral